UACGUAGGCAGCAAGCGUUGUUCGGAGUUACUGGGCGUAAAGGGUGUGUAGGCGGUUGGUUAAGUUUGGGGUGAAAUCUCCCGGCUCAACUGGGAGGGUGCGCCGGAUACUGAGUGACUCGAGUGCGGGAGAGGAAAGUGGAAUUCCUGGUGUAGCGGUGAAAUGCGUAGAUAUCAGGAGGAACACCGGUGGUGUAGACGGCUUUCUGGACCGUAACUGACGCUGAAACACGAAAGCGUGGGUAGCAAACAGG
RNAcentral lists this ribosomal RNA (253 nucleotides) under uncultured bacterium. Its description in RNAcentral is "partial 16S ribosomal RNA". It matches the Rfam family "Bacterial small subunit ribosomal RNA", at positions 524 to 776 of the family's 1533-position model. The record is from RNAcentral.